GCCCCUGUAGCUCAACGGAUAGAGCGCCAGUCUACGAAGCUGUGGGUGGGAGUUCGACUCUCUCCGGGGGCGCCA
Molecule: transfer RNA, 75 nt
Filed under: Mycobacterium avium subsp. hominissuis
Lineage: Bacteria; Bacillati; Actinomycetota; Actinomycetes; Mycobacteriales; Mycobacteriaceae
Also listed under: 3 other names
Description: tRNA-Arg
Rfam family: tRNA
About the family: Transfer RNA (tRNA) molecules are approximately 80 nucleotides in length. Their secondary structure includes four short double-helical elements and three loops (D, anti-codon, and T loops).
Source: RNAcentral